AUGUAUUAUUUAAUUUUAAAAAAAUCUGUUCUUAUCAGUUUAAUAUCUGAUAUGUCCUCCAAUGUGAGGACUAUAUAUUAAACAGAUUUUUAGCACUGGGGGCUGAAAUAGGGGCUUGCUCCUUUCACUCCACGCAUCGACCUGGUACUGCAGUGCCGCCAGGAACGGUGCACCCUUC
Molecule: small nuclear RNA, 178 nt
Filed under: Amphiprion ocellaris (clown anemonefish)
Lineage: Eukaryota; Metazoa; Chordata; Actinopteri; Pomacentridae
Description: U2 spliceosomal RNA
Rfam family: U2 spliceosomal RNA
About the family: U2 is a small nuclear RNA (snRNA) component of the spliceosome (involved in pre-mRNA splicing). Complementary binding between U2 snRNA (in an area lying towards the 5' end but 3' to hairpin I) and the branchpoint sequence (BPS) of the intron results the bulging out of an unpaired adenosine, on the BPS, which initiates a nucleophilic attack at the intronic 5' splice site, thus starting the first of two transesterification reactions that mediate splicing.
Source: Rfam by way of RNAcentral